AGAGUUUGAUCCUGGCUCAGGAUGAACGCUAGCUACAGGCUUAACACAUGCAAGUCGAGGGGAAACGAUAAUUGGAAGCUUGCUUCCGAUAGGCGUCGACCGGCGCACGGGUGAGGUAACGCGUAUCCAACCUGCCCACCACUUGGGGAUAACCUUGCAAAGUAAGAACUAAAUACCCAAAUGACGUCUCUAGAAGACAUCUGAAAGAGAAUUAAAAGAAUUUAAUCGGUGAUGGAUGGGGAUGGCGUCUGAUUAGCUUGUUGGCGGGGUAACGGCCGACCGAAGGCGACGAUCAGUAGGGGUUCUGGAGAGGAAGGUCCCCCACACUUGGAACUGAGACACGGUCCAAACUCCUACGGGAGGCA
This 365-nucleotide ribosomal RNA is filed under the name uncultured bacterium. Its description in RNAcentral is "bacterial SSU rRNA". It matches the Rfam family "Bacterial small subunit ribosomal RNA", at positions 8 to 350 of the family's 1533-position model. The record is from RNAcentral.